RNAcentral lists this ribosomal RNA (445 nucleotides) under uncultured bacterium. RNAcentral's name for it is "bacterial SSU rRNA". It matches the Rfam family "Bacterial small subunit ribosomal RNA", at positions 354 to 796 of the family's 1533-position model. The record is from RNAcentral.
GUAAGGAAUAUUGGACAAUGGACGCAAGUCUGAUCCAGCCAUGCCGCGUGAAGGAUUAAGGUCCUCUGGAUUGUAAACUUCUUUUAUAAGGGACGAAAAAAGGCUUUUCUAAGUCGUCUGACGGUACCUUAUGAAUAAGCACCGGCUAACUCCGUGCCAGCAGCCGCGGUAAUACGGAGGGUGCAAGCGUUAUCCGGAUUCACUGGGUUUAAAGGGUGCGUAGGCGGUCAGGUAAGUCAGUGGUGAAAUCCUAGAGCUUAACUCUAGAACUGCCAUUGAUACUAUCUGUCUUGAAUAUUGUGGAGGUAAGCGGAAUAUGUCAUGUAGCGGUGAAAUGCUUAGAUAUGGCAUAGAACACCUAUUGCGAAGGCAGCUUACUACGCAUAUAUUGACGCUGAGGCACGAAAGCGUGGGGAUCAAACAGGAUUAGAAACCCGAGUAGUCC